Molecule: ribosomal RNA, 253 nt
Filed under: uncultured bacterium
Lineage: Bacteria
Description: partial 16S ribosomal RNA
Rfam family: Bacterial small subunit ribosomal RNA
Source: RNAcentral
GACGAAGGGGGCAAGCGUUGUUCGGAAUUACUGGGCGUAAAGGGCGCGUAGGCGGCCCUAUAAGUCAGGCGUGAAAUCCCCAGGCUCAACCUCAAGCUGUCGGUGGAAACCCCUUGGCUAGAGUCCGGAAGAGGAGAGUGGAAUUCCUGGUGUAGCGGUGAAAUGCGCAGAUAUCAGGAAGAACACCAAUGGCGAAGGCAGCUCUCUGGGACGGUACUGACACUGAGACGCGAAAGCGUGGGGAGCAAACAGG